GUCCUGGCCCUAAACGAUGAAUGCUUGGUGUGGCGGGUAUCGAUCCCUGCCGUGCCGAAGCUAACGCAUUAAGCAUUCCGCCUGGGGAGUAUUGUCGCAAGGCUGAAACUCAAAGGAAUUGACGGGGGCCCCGCACAAGCGGUGGAGCAUGUGGUUCAAUUCGACGCAACGCGAAGAACCUUACCCAGGCUUGAACAGCGAGUGACCACUCCCGAAAGGGAGCUUCCGCAAGGACACUCGUAGAGGUGCUGCAUGGCUGUCGU
RNAcentral lists this ribosomal RNA (263 nucleotides) under uncultured bacterium. RNAcentral describes it as "partial 16S ribosomal RNA". It matches the Rfam family "Bacterial small subunit ribosomal RNA", at positions 793 to 1055 of the family's 1533-position model. The record is from RNAcentral.